Molecule: ribosomal RNA, 433 nt
Filed under: uncultured bacterium
Lineage: Bacteria
Description: partial 16S ribosomal RNA
Rfam family: Bacterial small subunit ribosomal RNA
Source: RNAcentral
AGCGAACGCUGGCGGCAGGCCUAACACAUGCAAGUCGAACGAACUCUUCGGAGUUAGUGGCGGACGGGUGAGUAACACGUGGGAACUUGCCCUUAGGUUCGGAAUAACUCAGGGAAACUUGUGCUAAUACCGAAUGUGCCCUUCGGGGGAAAGAUUUAUCGCCUUUAGAUGGGCCCGCGUCUGAUUAGCUAGUUGGUGAGGUAAAGGCGCACCAAGGCGACGAUCAGUAGCUGGUCUGAGAGGAUGAUCAGCCACAUUGGGACUGAGACACGGCCCAAACUCCUACGGGAGGCAGCAGUGGGGAAUAUUGCGCAAUGGGCGAAAGCCUGACGCAGCCAUGCCGCGUGAAUGAUGAAGGUCUUAGGAUUGUAAAAUUCUUUCACCGGGGACGAUAAUGACGGUACCCGGAGAAGAAGCCCCGGCUAACUUCGUG